RNAcentral lists this ribosomal RNA (315 nucleotides) under uncultured Acetobacter sp. Its description in RNAcentral is "bacterial SSU rRNA". It matches the Rfam family "Bacterial small subunit ribosomal RNA", at positions 505 to 821 of the family's 1533-position model. The record is from RNAcentral. Lineage: Bacteria; Pseudomonadati; Pseudomonadota; Alphaproteobacteria; Acetobacterales; Acetobacteraceae.
GUGCCAGCAGCUGCGGUAAUACGAAGGGGCUAGCGUUGCUCGGAAUGACUGGGCGUAAAGGGCGUGUAGGCGGUUUGUACAGUCAGAUGUGAAAUCCCCGGGCUCAACCUGGGAGCUGCAUUUGAUACGUGCAGACUAGAGUGUGAGAGAGGGUUGUGGAAUUCCCAGUGUAGAGGUGAAAUUCGUAGAUAUUGGGAAGAACACCGGUGGCGAAGGCGGCAACCUGGCUCAUUACUGACGCUGAGGCGCGAAAGCGUGGGAGCAAACAGGAUUAGAUACCCUGGUAGUCCACGCUGUAAACGAUGUGUGCUAGAU